This 301-nucleotide ribosomal RNA is filed under the name uncultured bacterium. RNAcentral describes it as "partial 16S ribosomal RNA". It matches the Rfam family "Bacterial small subunit ribosomal RNA", at positions 509 to 807 of the family's 1533-position model. The record is from RNAcentral.
CAGCCGCCGCGGGAAUACGGAGGGUGCAAGCGUUAAUCGGAAUUACUGGGCGUAAAGCGUGCGUAGGCGGUUCGUUAAGUCUGUUGUGAAAGACCCGGGCUCAACCUGGGAAUGGCAAUGGAUACUGGCGAGCUAGAGUGUGUCAGAGGAUGGUGGAAUUCCCGGUGUAGCGGUGAAAUGCGUAGAGAUCGGGAGGAACAUCAGUGGCGAAGGCGGCCAUCUGGGACAACACUGACACUGAGGCACGAAAGCGUGGGGAGCAAACAGGAUUAGAUACCCCUGUAGUCCCUGUCUCUUAUAC